This 761-nucleotide ribosomal RNA is filed under the name uncultured bacterium. RNAcentral describes it as "bacterial SSU rRNA". It matches the Rfam family "Bacterial small subunit ribosomal RNA", at positions 62 to 804 of the family's 1533-position model. The record is from RNAcentral.
UCGAACGCGAAAAGGGCUUCGGCUCUUAGUAGAGUGGCGAACGGGUGGGUAACACGUGGGUGACCUACCUUCGAAUGGGGGAUAACGUCCCGAAAGGGACGCUAAUACCGCAUAACAUCCUGCUUUUGAACAGGUGGAGAUCAAAGCCGGGGAUCGCAAGACCUGGCGUUUGAAGAGGGGCCCGCGUCUGAUUAGCUAGUUGGUGAGGUAACGGCCCACCAAGGCGACGAUCAGUAUCCGGCCUGAGAGGGCGGACGGACACACUGGGACUGAGACACGGCCCAGACUCCUACGGGAGGCAGCAGUGGGGAAUUGUUCGCAAUGGGCGCAAGCCUGACGACGCAACGCCGCGUGGAGGAUGAAGGUCUUCGGAUUGUAAACUCCUGUUGCUCGGGACGAAAAGCUUCGACCUAACACGUCGAAGUCUGACGGUACCGGGUGAGGAAGCCCCGGCUAACUCUGUGCCAGCAGCCGCGGUAAUACAGAGGGGGCAAGCGUUGUUCGGAAUUACUGGGCGUAAAGGGCGCGUAGGCGGCCCGCUAAGUCGAACGUGAAAUCCCCGGGCUCAACCCGGGAACUGCGUCCGAUACUGGCAGGCUUGAAUCCGGGAGAGGGAUGCGGAAUUCCAGGUGUAGCGGUGAAAUGCGUAGAUAUCUGGAGGAACACCGGUGGCGAAGGCGGCAUCCUGGGCCGGUAUUGACGCUGAGGCGCGAAAGCCAGGGGAGCAAACGGGAUUAGAUACCCCGGUAGUCCUGGCCCUA